GUAGCUUGACUUUUCCCCACCCCCACCCCACUCCGUGUUAGGGGAGAAGGGGAGGGGGUGUCCCGGCAAAUGAAGACAUUAGCAAGGGAGGGAAGAUGGGUUUCCCCUUCAUCUUAUUUCCCUUUUUUUUUUUCAUUAUGAGGUCAGACUGAGGGGGGUUGAAGGCCAUCUCAAAGGCAGGACCAGCUAAGGUUUCACCUAUUACUCCAGGAAAAGCCCAGCAUCCUUGGCCCAGGCGGCCCUAGGGGCUGAUGGGGAGUGUUCCUUCCCAAGUGGGGCUUAGCCAGGCUGCCUCCUGCGCCCCCAGAAGGCAAGAGAAACAUCCCGAAGUGUUGGAUUGCUGUUGGCCAAGGAUCUGUUGUGUUGGGCAAGUAAGAAGCUGGAAGGAGAAUUUCCGUUAUCGGAAUCUGCGUCUUUCGGGAGCAACGCUCCGUAAGUUGGAGUCUGCCCUCUUAGAGUUGACCCCUCAAGACUUCCAGAACCCUUACGAAUGGGAGAAAUUUCAACUCUGGCUCCAGGAAGUCAUGUUUGCAGAAUGGUGGCUGGACCAAUUCUCUCGAGAUAUCAAACGUCGAUGGAAAAAUCUGACAGUGUUCUGAUUGUCCUUGGGGCAUGGGAAGUCUAAUUUGGGGUAAUGUGGUAAAUUGUGCGUUUUUGCUGGACAAUAAAGAACUGAGUGCUAA
This is a long non-coding RNA of Pantherophis guttatus, 683 nucleotides long. RefSeq lists it as uncharacterized. The record is from RefSeq and is a predicted model, not a curated record. Lineage: Eukaryota; Metazoa; Chordata; Lepidosauria; Squamata; Colubridae.